UACGUAGGUGACCAGCGUUGUCCGGAUUUACUGGGCGUAAAGAGCGCGCAGGCGGUCGUUCAAGUCGAAUGUGAAAGCCCCCGGCUCAACUGGGGAGGGUCAUUCGAUACUGAUCGACUCGAAGGCAGGAGAGGGAAGUGGAAUUCCCGGUGUAGUGGUGAAAUGCGUAGAUAUCGGGAGGAACACCAGUGGCGAAGGCGACUUCCUGGCCUGUUCUUGACGCUGAGGCGCGAAAGCUAGGGGAGCAAACGGG
This 253-nucleotide ribosomal RNA is filed under the name uncultured bacterium. Its description in RNAcentral is "partial 16S ribosomal RNA". It matches the Rfam family "Bacterial small subunit ribosomal RNA", at positions 524 to 776 of the family's 1533-position model. The record is from RNAcentral.